Long non-coding RNA from Felis catus (domestic cat), 624 nucleotides. RefSeq lists it as uncharacterized. The transcript has 3 exons. Lineage: Eukaryota; Metazoa; Chordata; Mammalia; Carnivora; Felidae. The record is from RefSeq and is a predicted model, not a curated record.
UGCCUACAUUCCCGAUAUCCCACUGGAAAGUGAGCUGCUAGGACGUAGACGGCAUCCGUUCCGUCGCCGAGUGCCGAGUGGGCGGCGACUUGAGGGAAGAAAGACCGGGAGGGAGACGCCGGGCGACCGCGAAGGGAGAGGUCAAAAUGCCCUGGCUGCUGUUUUCACUGUUCCCGUGGCCCACUGGAAAAAGAAGCUGAAAUACAGGAUGUAGGUUGUCUAAUGGACCUGGAACGACGGAGGAAGCUGGACUUAGGAUCCAUUUCUGCCUGUCUCCAAAGCCCUGCCUAUACCAAACAUCAGGCCACAGCCCUGUCUCCGUGCUGACUGCCUUUCUCCACUUCCUGCCAGCCACCCUCAUGUCUGGGCUUCUGGGUUUGUGUUCUUUGUCUGGGGCUGUUGAUGGACCACCAGGAGGUCCCUGGGUAUCCUGUCAGUGUUUCCCAGCCACUAGAGGAUGACUUGGGAUGGCAUCCCAGGUUCUGACACGUACUUAGAAAAUUCUGCACAGGCAGCAGCAGGUAGACACCGAUGUUGAAAUGAAUUGUUUCUAAGCUGACGGCCAAGAAGGAAUUCUUGAAAAGGUUUUGGUGCAAAAAAAAAAUAAAAGGUGGUUUUGUUAAA